GGAUGAACGCUAGCGGCAGGCCUAAUACAUGCCAGUCGAGGGGUAAGAGUCAGCUUGCUGACUACACGACCGGCGCACGGGUGCGUAACGCGUAUGCAACCUACCUUUAACAGAGGAAUAGCCCCGAGAAAUCGGGAUUAAUACCACAUAACAUUAUGAUAUGGCAUCAUAUUAUAAUUAAAACUCCGGUGGUUAAAGAUGGGCAUGCGUGACAUUAGCUAGUUGGUGAGGUAACUGCUCACCAAGGCUACGAUGUCUAGGGGUUCUGAGAGGAUGAUCCCCCACACUGGUACUGAAACACGGACCAGACUCCUACGGGAGGCAGCAGUAAGGAAUAUUGCGCAAUGGAGGCAACUCUGACGCAGCCAUGCCGCGUGCAGGAUUGAAGGCCUUAUGGGUCGUAAACUGCUUUUAUUUAGGAAUAAACUUUCGUACGUGUACGAAACUGAAGGUACUAAACGAAUAAGCACCGGCUAACUCCGUGCCAGCAGCCGCGGUAAUACGGAGGGUGCAAGCGUUAUCCGGAUUUAUUGGGUUUAAAGGGUGCGCAGGCGGACCAAUUAGUCAGUGGUGAAAUCCCGAGGCUCAACCUCGGAACUGCCAUUGAUACUGUUGGUCUUGAAUACGGUUGAAGUAGGCGGAAUGUAGCAUGUAGCGGUGAAAUGCAUAGAGAUGCUACAGAAACACCGAUCGCGAAGGCAGCUUACUAAACCGAUAUUGACGCUCAGGCACGAAAGCGUGGGGAGCGAACAGGAUUAGAUACCCUGGUAGUCCACGCCGUAAACUAUGAUCACUCGUUGUUGGCAAUACACAGUCAGUGACCAAGCGAAAGCGAUAAGUGAUCCACCUGGGGAGUACGAUCGCAAGGUUGAAACUCAAAGGAAUUGACGGGGGCCCGCACAAGCGGUGGAGCAUGUGGUUUAAUUCGAUGAUACGCGAGGAACCUUACCUGGGCUCAAAUGUAAGUUGACAGUUUAUGAAAGGGAAUUUUCUUCGGACAAUUUACAAGGUGCUGCAUGGUUGUCGUCAGCUCGUGCCGUGAGGUGUCGGGUUAAGUCCCAUAACGAGCGCAACCCCUACUCUUAGUUGCCAUCAGAUAAUGCUGGGGACUCUAGGAGAACUGCCUACGCAAGUAGAGAGGAAGGUGGGGAUGACGUCAAAUCAGCACGGCCCUUACGUCCAGGGCUACACACGUGCUACAAUGGCCGGUACAGAGGGCAGCCACCUGGUGACAGGGAGCGAAUCUCUAAAGCCGGUCUCAGUUCGGAUCGAAGUCUGCAACCCGACUUCGUGAAGCUGGAAUCGCUAGUAAUCGCGCAUCAGCCAUGGCGCGGUGAAUACGUUCCCGGGCCUUGUACAC
This 1360-nucleotide ribosomal RNA is filed under the name uncultured Bacteroidota bacterium. Its description in RNAcentral is "bacterial SSU rRNA". It matches the Rfam family "Bacterial small subunit ribosomal RNA", at positions 27 to 1388 of the family's 1533-position model. The record is from RNAcentral. Lineage: Bacteria; Pseudomonadati; Bacteroidota.